CGCCACGGCGACUACGGCAGCGUCGGGGUCAUCGUCGUCCUCAUCCGCACAGGGAAGCUGGACUGGGAGGUUUACUGCUUCCGGUCGGCAGACGAUGGAUAUGACGCUAUGCCCAGCACGAGUGCUAACGCCAUCACGGCCGGCACCACUGGCACCAGCAGCCGUUCGGUGUGCUCUCCGGCAUGCUGCAGUCGAAGGGUCGAGCAGGAGCUAUGGAUGCCAGCAAACAAGCCUGUGCAGACGGCAAUGCAUCAAUCAAAUCGGAUGGAGAACAUCACACAACAGCCUUUCUCCAGGACAUAAAGAAAAUGGUGGCACUUUGGGUUUUGAAGACGCCGCCUCGCGUAGGACUACGAACAUGGGACGCUCAGUCGAGUUUUUCUUAACUCGUCAGGAUUCUCAUGCUGCAAAUUUAGUAACGGGGCAAAUUUUUUGGUGUCCUGGUGUGUUUGCGGAUUGAUGAAAAUUUGGCGAGGGAGAUCAUAAACCAUCGCUCGCUGCAGCACAUCAAUUGUUGAAUUCGUUUGAAGGAGCUGUCAAUUGUUGAAUUCGCUUGAAGGAGAUGGAGCUUGUUUGGCUGAAUUUGCUACUGAGCUGCCACAUUUUGAGGGCCUGCAAUUGAAGAAUACAACACUUGAGAUAACAAUUGAAGAAUACUAGAGUAAUAAUAACUACUGCAAGAUUGAUGUAUUUUCUUUUUGUUGGAGAUUUUCUGCAUCUUUUAUGGACGGUAACAUUUGAGAUAACAAUUUGAUGUGCUAACCAUCAAGAUCAACUUUGACAUGUUUGGUCUCUAAAAGUUACUAUUGACCAUCAUUAGUACAUCCUAUAAGAAGGGGAAAAUAAAGCAUUAAUGUGGAGUAUGUUCCAAUGGAAAUCUUCAGGAACACCUUGAAGGUCUGAGUGCAAUUUUUCUUUAGUUCUCUGUGAGCUUAAAAAUGCAACUGAUGUGGCCCAUGCAACUGAAAUUAAAAACAUGGAGAAGAAUCAUAAAAGAUCUCGCUGAAAAUGCCCUCGUUCCGCACUUCGUGUGGACAGGCAGCGCCCUUUACCUUUGAAGUCUCGAAAAAUGGUCUGGGUGAUGCGGGUGCCUCAAUGCUUGAUGCCAUGUUCUGUAAGAGGCCAAGGUUAAUGUAUGACUAUCACGUUCCCCACCAAGUGAAAUGUGCUAUUUCACCACAAACAUUGACGAAGUUAAGUUCAGUGCAGGCAAAAUGGAUAAGUCUGUAACUGGAACUCUGGAUAGUUGAUCCUCUGACUGGCAAAAAAUUUAUCAAAGUUGCUGAGGUUCAGGGGUCUGAAAUUAA
This is a long non-coding RNA of Triticum dicoccoides, 1307 nucleotides long. RefSeq lists it as uncharacterized. The transcript is spliced from 8 exons. NCBI's taxonomy places the organism in Eukaryota, Viridiplantae, Streptophyta, Magnoliopsida, Poales, Poaceae. The record is from RefSeq and is a predicted model, not a curated record.